Panicum virgatum (switchgrass) is the source of this 1185-nucleotide long non-coding RNA. RefSeq lists it as uncharacterized. The transcript has 2 exons. The record is from RefSeq and is a predicted model, not a curated record. NCBI's taxonomy places the organism in Eukaryota, Viridiplantae, Streptophyta, Magnoliopsida, Poales, Poaceae.
AAAGGGUAAUCAACCUGUGUUUCAUUCAGCUUUCACUGCCACCAUCCAUCACCUUGUGGAUACAGUAGGUUUCAUCAGCUUUCACGAAUCCGGCAGGCGACAGUCAUCAGCCGGCGAAGCCACAUUUUGUGGAUACAGUAGCCGCAUCGAGGUCUGAACCUCUCUUCAGGGCGGGCACCAAUCUCACCACCGACGUCCACCAAUUUGGUAGCAACACGGAGCGCCCAUCAGUGAUGGUAGCAGGUUAGUUCAUAUGCGCCCUCAAAUGCUUUCAAUUGGUAGUUCAUCUGCUGCUGUACACCCCACAUGCAUGAAGUUCUGCUGCCCCUGUGUGUUCGAGCAGAGGGCAACUGAGUAGUAUUUUCACACUUUUGAGUAGUAUUGUUCUAUAAAUGAAUGAUAAAUAUUGUAGUAGUAAUUUUUUGCCAAUGGUUAAAUCAAUUGGGGAAAUAUCCAAAAUAGUAGUAGUACAAGCAAUACUGUAGUAGAAAUUUUCAUAGCAUCAAAAAAAUAUCAUCGUGUUUCCACGUUGCAAGGCAAAUGCAUGCUAGAGUAGCAUUUUUUAUAAUCAAGAGUAGAAUUUGGUUCUUAUUCAAGUAGUAUUUUCACACUUUUGAGUAGUAUAUUGUUUUUAUAAAUGAGAGUAGUAUUUUUUUCUUACUGAAGUAGUAUUUUCCACAAUUUAGAGAAGUACUUUCAUAAUUUUGAGUAGUAUCUUUUUAUAAUAUAGAGUAGUAUUUUUGUUCUCUAUAAUACUUCAUAACUUGCGAAUCAUGCAACCAUUAGGUCAUGCUUACCACGCAACUAAUUUCUAGUUGCUUAUUGGAGCCAAUCGAAACUAAUAUGGAAAUCGCAAGACAUAAGUAUCGCUUAGGAGUAAUUUACAACUUUAUUAGUAUGUCAAUUGCUAAUAUUUUCUGUUGGCCAAAGUAUCUUCAUAGCAAAAGCAGCUUGACCUCUUUGUUUCUAAUGUUGUGCAGAUAACCUUGUAUACCUUUUGUUGGAGAAGCUGCAAGCUAGAAGGAUGCAGGGACAGAUACUUGCAUGGAUGUUUAUUCGCUUUCUUUUAUUCUUAGAAUGAGUGUAGUCAAAUUUUGUUCAUCUGUGUAUAUGGAGAUAUCUAGGAGUAAUUAUUAGUUGAUUGUAUAAAUAUUACUUAUCAGUACAUUUAUAAUUACUCCCUUA